UACGUAGGGGGCUAGCGUUGUUCGGAUUCAUUGGGCGUAAAGGGUGCGUAGGCGGUCGCGCAAGUCGGAUGUGAAAUCUCAGGGCUCAACCCUGAAACUGCAUUCGAUACUGCGUGGCUAGAGUGCUGGAGGGGAGACUGGAAUUUACGGUGUAGCAGUGAAAUGCGUAGAUAUCGUAAGGAAGACCAGUGGCGAAGGCGAGUCUCUGGACAGCAACUGACGCUGAGGCACGAAGGCCAGGGGAGCAAACGGG
Molecule: ribosomal RNA, 253 nt
Filed under: uncultured bacterium
Lineage: Bacteria
Description: partial 16S ribosomal RNA
Rfam family: Bacterial small subunit ribosomal RNA
Source: RNAcentral